This 73-nucleotide transfer RNA is filed under the name Phycisphaerae bacterium. RNAcentral's name for it is "tRNA-Ala". It matches the Rfam family "tRNA". From Rfam's summary of the family: Transfer RNA (tRNA) molecules are approximately 80 nucleotides in length. Their secondary structure includes four short double-helical elements and three loops (D, anti-codon, and T loops). Lineage: Bacteria; Pseudomonadati; Planctomycetota; Phycisphaerae. The record is from RNAcentral.
GGGGCGGUAGCUCAAUUGGUAGAGCACUACCUUUGCAAGGUAGGGGUUGAGGGUUCGAGUCCCUUCCGCUCCA